Molecule: ribosomal RNA, 422 nt
Filed under: uncultured bacterium
Lineage: Bacteria
Description: bacterial SSU rRNA
Rfam family: Bacterial small subunit ribosomal RNA
Source: RNAcentral
UAAGGAAUAUUGGUCAAUGGAGGCAACUCUGAACCAGCCAUGCCGCGUGCAGGAUGAAGGCGCUCUGCGUUGUAAACUGCUUUUAUCUGGGAAGAAACCUCCUUUUCUAAGGAAGUUGACGGUACCAGAGGAAUAAGCACCGGCUAACUCCGUGCCAGCAGCCGCGGUAAUACGGAGGGUGCAAGCGUUAUCCGGAUUUACUGGGUUUAAAGGGUGCGUAGGCGGGUUUCCAAGUCAGUGGUGAAAGCUCCGAGCUUAACUCGGAAAUUGCCAUUGAUACUGGAAGUCUUGAAUUCAGUUGAGGUCGGCGGAAUGUGUCGUGUAGUAGUGAAAUACUUAGAUAUGACACAGAACACCAAUUGCGAAGGCAGCUGGCUAACCUGACAUUGACGCUGAGGCACGAAAGCGUGGGGAUCAAACAG